Molecule: long non-coding RNA, 609 nt
Organism: Acipenser ruthenus (sterlet)
Lineage: Eukaryota; Metazoa; Chordata; Actinopteri; Acipenseriformes; Acipenseridae
Exons: 3
Source: RefSeq, a predicted model, not a curated record
GAGCAGCGUCAGUUUUGGAAAUGUCACAUUUUAUAUUUGUGUCAGUUUUUAGUUAAGUAAAUUGGAAAAUUACAAGCGGUGUGUAUUUCAGUAUGCUAACGUGACGUUUUUCAGCAGGUUUCAUUUGAUUUUAUGAAGCAGAAUUAGUUAACACUGAAAUCAGCCCCUCGACAGCAGUUCUACUAAAUGUCCACACGAGGGCAGCAUAGGAUAGGAAAUGAAAGCUAAAGCCUUGUCUGUCUCCCUGAAGUUCGCUACCAAUUGUAAACAGCAGAGGACAGCUCAGCCGGAGGCAUGUGUCUGUGUGAAACGACUUUAUUUCAUGUGAUAAGUUUGUGGAAGAAGGAUGCCAUGUUUGGAGGCGUUUGCUAUUGUUUUACACAGACUACGAGGGACAGCGCUCGUUAAACCAGGUCUGUGAGGAUGAGAAGGUCUCCACAGUCUGGAGUCUGGUCUCUGACAGGCUCAACAUACCUGUCAAUCAACAGGGACUCCUCUACAAAGGCAAGGCGCUGGCAGGAUUACGAGCGGAGGCUGCGCUUGUUGAGCCUGGAUGAUAUGGAGAGGCUGGCGACCCGCAUGCUUCACCCUGAGGCUGUGGAGUGCAUG